UGAAACUGUAUGGGCCACACAAAAUUUCUCGCCUUCCCAAACCGAAACCGACGGGAUCUCCGACAUCAGUCUUCUCCUCUUUAUCGCCUCUCUCUCUUCCCCGCCCUCCCCAUUAUCUGUUCAACUCCGCGAGAAUUUUAUUCAGCCCACUCGAAGUGACUCUCGACAACUUGAGCUUUCACUACAGGUUUUGAGGGAUUCUUGAGCAGUGAUAAGAAAAAAAGAAAGAAAGUCAGAACUUUAAGAAAAAGAAAGCCAUCAAUGCAUCUACCAAGUUCAAGCAUUCUCUUAAGAAAAAGAGCGGAAGAAGAAAGAGUGAUGGUCGAGUGAGUUCUGUCUCCAUUGUGGAUGUGAGAGAUGUCGAGGAGCUACAAGCUGUUGAUGCGUUCCCACAAGCGUUGUUAAUGGACGAGUUGCUUCCGGAUAUACACGACGACUAUCACAUGAUGUUCAGGUUCUUGAAAGCCAGGAAAUUCGAUGUUAAGAAAGCAAAGCAAAUGUGGGCUAAUAUGAUUCAGUGGAGGAAGGAGUUUAGUCAUUCUCCAUUGUUUGUCUCACGUCUUAUCUCUCCUGCGACUGCAACGAUGACGACGACGGCUCUCUUGAAGUCAUUGUUGUUGUGGAGUCCGGUAAGAGUAAAAACCAACCCCAACUCUGGCGGCCAUACGUUCUACAUCCCUGCAAACAUCGGAGAGUUUGUGAGAACUCAACUGCGUCUGGCUGGGAAGAUUUUGGAAUUACUCCUGAACAGCUUUGUCAUAAUGUUGUCAAAGGAUCACAACAACAACAGCAAUAUGGACUGGCCUCAAUGAUUGUCAAAUUUGAUCAGAUACGUACUACCAGAGAAAGGCAUCAGUGGACAUGAUGAUGACUUGCUAGAGCGCAAGACCAUUUAUGGUUUUUGCUGGGAAUGAAUUUCGAGACAACCAGGUCGCAGGUCUUCUAUCCUUUAUGCUUUUUCGUUUAACUCAGAGAAGAAACGAGGUGGUGUUGCUGUUAAAAAACGGGUUUCCACAAGCUCUUCUUAUUCAAACGAGCAAGUUAAGGUAUACAAAUUCUAGGGUUUAUUUUUUAAAGUUAAGGUAAGACAUCUUCUCUUGUCUUUGUCUUUGUCUUCUAACAUUUUGGUGCCCGGUGAUGAUCGGAGGACGUUGGUGUCUCUUCUUCUAGAGUUCUUUUUUUUUUAGGGUUUCUCUUUUAAGUCGUUGUUUGAUUCAGACUUGUAAAAUUAACUAUUAUGGUUUUAAUCUAAUUAUGUAUAUGUUGUGCAGGUCGGGUUGAAGAAUGAAGACUGACUAAGCUGAUUUGAUGGUUGCUGCUGUAGCACUUGGGAUAAAAACAAAAACAGAGGUUUGUCACAGCUGUCCGUGACUACAGACUGUCUCUCCAGCCUCAAAACUUGAAUGGAGGAAGCAUUGCAUUAAUUUCCGGUGGUUCUUAUUACAGCUGCUGUCAGUGACUACAAACAGUCUAACUUGAACGAUGAAAAGAGAAACAUACAUAUGGAGUUAUAGAAUUGUGAGACAAUGGGAUCUGCCACUACUAUUUUCCUGUGUUGCUUAGGUUUUCCCUGUUCACUUUCUCAUAUGGCAUGUUGGAUUUUCUUUCUCGAUGACUUUGUGGGUAUGCCAUUGUUUCUUUCUCUAUUGUAUUUAGAAUGGAUGAAUUGGCAUUCUUUGCUCCUGGAAUGUUGGCUUUAGGAGCUUU
Molecule: non-coding RNA, 1707 nt
Organism: Camelina sativa (false flax)
Lineage: Eukaryota; Viridiplantae; Streptophyta; Magnoliopsida; Brassicales; Brassicaceae
Source: RefSeq, a predicted model, not a curated record